RNAcentral lists this ribosomal RNA (442 nucleotides) under uncultured bacterium. RNAcentral describes it as "partial 16S ribosomal RNA". It matches the Rfam family "Bacterial small subunit ribosomal RNA", at positions 338 to 795 of the family's 1533-position model. The record is from RNAcentral.
CCUACGGGAGGCAGCAGUGGGGAAUAUUGGGCAAUGGAGGAAACUCUGACCCAGCAACGCCGCGUGAAGGAUGAAGGUUUUCGGAUUGUAAACUUCUGUCGCGAGGGACGAAGAAUGACGGUACCUCGUAAGAAAGCCCCGGCUAACUACGUGCCAGCAGCCGCGGUAAUACGUAGGGGGCGAGCGUUAUCCGGAUUUAUUGGGUUUAAAGGGUGCGUAGGCUGUGAGGUAAGUCAGCGGUGAAAUGCCCCCGCUCAACGGGGUGAAGUGCCAUUGAUACUGCCUUGCUGGAAUGCGGAUGCCGUGGGAGGAAUGUGUGGUGUAGCGGUGAAAUGCAUAGAUAUCACACAGAACCCCGAUUGCGAAGGCAGCCUGCCAAGCCAUGACUGACGCUGAUGCACGAAAGCGUGGGGAUCAAACAGGAUUAGAUACCCCUGUAGUC